RNAcentral lists this long non-coding RNA (251 nucleotides) under Theobroma cacao (cacao). RNAcentral describes it as "long non-coding RNA (TCAC_LNC006390)". Lineage: Eukaryota; Viridiplantae; Streptophyta; Magnoliopsida; Malvales; Malvaceae. The record is from RNAcentral.
UUCCACCCAUUUCAGGUUCAGUAUAGACUGUAGAUAGCUGAUCUCAUCGAGGACUACAGUGGGAUCUGCAUUUUUCCAAACCGUAGGUUCACAGUCCUCUUUACUUUUGUUUAUUCGGGGGCACUCUUGUUAUUGUAAAUUAAAUUAAAUAUUUUGGCUUACUGUAUUUAAGUAUGUAUAAAUUUAUUUAGCUUUUACGCUACAAAAAUUAUUCACGUAUAACUCUAUAAAUAUUGUUUUAUAAGAAAAUA